UACGGAGGGGGCUAGCGUUAUUCGGAAUUACUGGGCGUAAAGCGCACGUAGGCGGACUGGAAAGUCAGAGGUGAAAUCCCAGGGCUCAACCUUGGAACUGCCUUUGAAACUCCCGGUCUUGAGGUCGAGAGAGGUGAGUGGAAUUCCGAGUGUAGAGGUGAAAUUCGUAGAUAUUCGGAGGAACACCAGUGGCGAAGGCGGCUCACUGGCUCGAUACUGACGCUGAGGUGCGAAAGCGUGGGGAGCAAACAGG
RNAcentral lists this ribosomal RNA (253 nucleotides) under uncultured bacterium. RNAcentral's name for it is "partial 16S ribosomal RNA". It matches the Rfam family "Bacterial small subunit ribosomal RNA", at positions 524 to 776 of the family's 1533-position model. The record is from RNAcentral.